AUACUGCCAGUGAUAACCGGAGAAGGCGGGGAUGACGUCAAGUCCUCAUGGCCCUUACAUCCCGGGCUACACACGUGCUACAAUGGCAGGUACAGAGGGCUGCGAAGCCGCGAGGUGGAGACGAAUCCCAGAAAACCUGUCUCAGUCCGGAUUGAAGUCUGCAACUCGACUUCAUGAAGGCGGAAUCGCUAGUAACCGCGAAUCAGCAGGUCGCGGUGAAUACGUUCCCGGGCCUU
Molecule: ribosomal RNA, 236 nt
Filed under: uncultured Latescibacterota bacterium
Lineage: Bacteria; Pseudomonadati; Candidatus Latescibacterota
Description: uncultured Latescibacteria bacterium partial 16S ribosomal RNA
Rfam family: Bacterial small subunit ribosomal RNA
Source: RNAcentral